AUCCAGCCGAAGAGUCCCAAACAGGACGAAAUGCGCGUCAUGGAU
This 45-nucleotide non-coding RNA is filed under the name Schistosoma mansoni. The record is from RNAcentral. Lineage: Eukaryota; Metazoa; Platyhelminthes; Trematoda; Strigeidida; Schistosomatidae.